GAUGAAGAACGUAGCGAAAUGCGAUACGUAAUGUGAAUUGCAGAAUUCAGUGAAUCAUCGAGUCUUUGAACGCACAUUGCGCCCCCUGGUAUUCCGGGGGGCAUGCCUGUCCGAGCGUCAUUGCUGCCCUCAAGCACGGCUUGUGUGUAGGGCCUCCGUCCUCCUCCCGGGGGACGGGCCCGAAAGGCAGCGGCGGCACCGCGUCCGGUCCUCGAGCGUAUGGGGCUUCGUCACCCGCUCUUGUAGGCCCGGCCGGCGCUUGCCGACACAUCAAUCUUUUUUCCAGGUUGACCUCGGAUCAGGUAGGGAUACCCGCUGAACUUAAGCAUAUCAAUAAGCGGAGGA
RNAcentral lists this unclassified non-coding RNA (345 nucleotides) under soil metagenome. Its description in RNAcentral is "partial contains 5.8S ribosomal RNA, internal transcribed spacer 2, and large subunit ribosomal RNA". The stretch from base 1 to 120 matches the Rfam family "5.8S ribosomal RNA", at positions 35 to 154 of the family's 154-position model. The record is from RNAcentral.